Non-coding RNA from Caenorhabditis elegans, 216 nucleotides. Lineage: Eukaryota; Metazoa; Nematoda; Chromadorea; Rhabditida; Rhabditidae. The record is from Ensembl.
AAGGGAAGGUCAAACCAAUUAAAUUUGAAUAUCUUAAUAUCCAUGUGUCUUUCGGAAUUCGACUUAUUUUGAUCAAAUGAAAGGGAAAAAGACGUACAUUUUUACGGUCACUGUUCUUGAUUUUUUUUGGAAGGUAUUCAAAGAUAUAUAUUACGCUCGAAUGACACAAUCACACUAGGAUGAAUAAGGGGAGGCUCUGGAGGAAAAGAAUACGUC